GAUGAACGCUGGCGGCGUGCCUAAUACAUGCAAGUCGAGCGAACUGACGAGGAGCUUGCUCCUUUGACGUUAGCGGCGGACGGGUGAGUAACACGUGGGUAACCUGCCUAUAAGACUGGAAUAACUCCGGGAAACCGGGGCUAAUGCCGGAUAACAUAUCGAACCGCAUGGUUCGAUAGUGAAAGACGGUCUUGCUGUCACUUAUAGAUGGACCCGCGCCGUAUUAGCUAGUUGGUGAGGUAACGGCUCACCAAGGCAACGAUACGUAGCCGACCUGAGAGGGUGAUCGGCCACACUGGAACUGAGACACGGUCCAGACUCCUACGGGAGGCAGCAGUAGGGAAUCUUCCGCAAUGGGCAAAGCCUGACGGAGCAACGCCGCGUGAGUGAUGAAGGUCUUC
Molecule: ribosomal RNA, 401 nt
Filed under: uncultured bacterium
Lineage: Bacteria
Description: bacterial SSU rRNA
Rfam family: Bacterial small subunit ribosomal RNA
Source: RNAcentral